GGGUGCCAAACAGGCAAUUACAAUGAUUUUCAGAAUAUAUAAAACCAUUCCUGAAUAUAUAAAGUCAGCGUCAGAAUAUAUAAAGUCAUUCCUGAAUAUAUAAAGUCAGCGUCGGAAUAUAUAAAGUCACUCCCGAAUAUGUAAAGUCAAAGCCUGAUUAUAUAAAGUCAGCGUCAGAAUAUAUAACGUCAUUACUGAAUAUAUAAAGUCGGCGUCGGAAUAUAUAACCUCAUUCCUGAAUAUAUAAAUUUAAAGUCAAAUUACAUUGAUACUGAUUGAAACGACUCAGGCACAUUUUUAGUAAACUCAAUUGAGUUCCUAAUACAACGUAAUGAACUAAGUUAACAAAAACAUCUUCAGAAAAAUAUUUUAAAAAACCCACUGUUCAGUUAAUUUAUUCAAAAUGAUGUAUGUGCCCUGCAUUUUGAACACUAUAUUUAUUUGUUCUUUUUGUAUGGGUGCAUUUUUGGACGAAUCUCACAAGCCCAAUCGACUCUGAGUGGCUUCUGUCAAAGUUUACCUUUCACUAGUACGAGUGAAAUGACAAGCACGGAAAUUUUAUAUAUUCGGGAAUGAUUUUAUAUAUUCCAAUGCUGACUUUAUAUAUUCAAAAAUGAGUUUAUAUAUUCCGACGCUUACUUUAUAUAAUCAGGCUUUGACGUUAUAUAUAAUCGGGAAUGAUUUUAUAUAUUCUGACGCUGACUUUAUAUAUUCAAGAAUGACUUUAUAUAUUCAAGUUUUGACUUUAUAUAUUCAGGAAUGACUUUAUAUAUUCCGAAAAUCAUUGCAAUUGCCUGUUUGGCAGCCCACAGGUACUGUAUAAUAGAUUUAUAAAAAAACAGCUAAGGGGAUAGAUAUAUAGAUAGACAGGAAGGAAAGGCACUAUAUGAUAGGCAGACAAGGAAGCUGCUAUAUAAUAAUAAAAUUA
This is a long non-coding RNA of Erpetoichthys calabaricus (reedfish), 928 nucleotides long. RefSeq lists it as uncharacterized. Lineage: Eukaryota; Metazoa; Chordata; Cladistia; Polypteriformes; Polypteridae. The record is from RefSeq and is a predicted model, not a curated record. The transcript is spliced from 2 exons.